This 29-nucleotide non-coding RNA is filed under the name Homo sapiens (human). Lineage: Eukaryota; Metazoa; Chordata; Mammalia; Primates; Hominidae. The record is from RNAcentral.
UGUUGUGGGAAUCUGUCAGUGUCCAAACA